AUGUUAGAUUCAGAAAAAUCAACUGCAAUGUUGGGACCUUCAGGGCUGACCCAAGAUCACAGGUACACAACACAGGACUCUACCCCUGAAAAUAUCUGCAGCACCUUUUCAUCAGAUAAAGUCACUAACAGAGGGUUCCAGAUAUUCCAACAGGUUGCUCCUGCCCCAUGUAGGAUGAACUGGAUUCAGGUAGGAGGAGAAACUUCAACAUCUGAAGAAGAUUCCAAAUAUAUCUUCUCAGAAAGCAAGCACAUUCCUACUGAUGAGCAUGCUAAAACACCCGAUUUCCAGAAGUGGAAAGGCGUUGCUAUUGAAAAAUACGAGCUAGAAGCAGCCAGGACUCAGGCAGCAGGACAAAAUUCAUCUGAUUCAAAAUAUUUCAGCUGUCUAUCCACUACCACUAAACUCCUUCCUACUGAGGAGCAUGGUAAGACUGGAUGCAAAAGUGAGGUUGAGCUCAGGCAGGAGAUAUACCUGAGGUGCUAGUCCAACUCUAGCUCACUUCUCUAUUCUUUUGAAUAUGGGGGAAAGGAUUCAGGGCAGAGGCACUGACAACUAAGACCUCUUGGGAGGAGCAAAUAGAGAUGGUAUUUCAAAA
RNAcentral lists this long non-coding RNA (598 nucleotides) under Marmota marmota marmota (Alpine marmot). RNAcentral describes it as "lncRNA (ENSMMMG00000008045.1)". The record is from RNAcentral. Lineage: Eukaryota; Metazoa; Chordata; Mammalia; Rodentia; Sciuridae.